GAAAGUUAAAGAAACUGUUUCUUAACUUUUAACUAAAAAAGUUAAGAACCAGUUCUUAAAUAAGGACUUUAAGAACCGGUUCUUAGCUUUUUUAGUUAAAAGUUAAGAAACAGUUUAUUAACUUCC
Molecule: non-coding RNA, 126 nt
Organism: Brassica napus (rape)
Lineage: Eukaryota; Viridiplantae; Streptophyta; Magnoliopsida; Brassicales; Brassicaceae
Source: Rfam